Molecule: small RNA, 95 nt
Filed under: Salmonella enterica
Lineage: Bacteria; Pseudomonadati; Pseudomonadota; Gammaproteobacteria; Enterobacterales; Enterobacteriaceae
Description: partial RtT sRNA
Rfam family: RtT RNA
About the family: This family represents a bacterial cis-regulatory element known as RtT RNA.
Source: RNAcentral
AAGGUUCGAUUCGAGCGUCAGCGAGAAAGCGUUGCCGCAGGCAACGACCCGAAGGGCGAAGCGCGCAGCGCUGAGUAAUCCUUCCCCCACCACCA